This 197-nucleotide unclassified non-coding RNA is filed under the name Inocybe flocculosa. RNAcentral's name for it is "partial internal transcribed spacer 2". The record is from RNAcentral. Lineage: Eukaryota; Fungi; Basidiomycota; Agaricomycetes; Agaricales; Inocybaceae.
AACUUCUCAACCAACAUCAGAUGAUGUUGGCUUGGAUGUGGGGGUUGUUUUUGCAGGCUUUUUCUUGUUAGAAGGUCGGCUCCCCUGAAAUGGAUUAGUGGUAUCUGAGGCUACUACUGUGGGUGUGAUAACUAUCUAUGCCUUUGGUAUGCCGCAUGAACAGAUUACACUGCUUCUAACAAAACAAAAUUUGAUAA